UAGUCCUUCAAAGAUCAUGGUAAUCACUUCAAUCAUUGGUUGGUUGUAUUCCCUCUCAAGAGUCUGCCUGUACUGGUCCAUUUCUCUAUGUCCUUGCUCACUCUCAAUGUAACAACCAAGGUGUCCUCUCUGAUCUAAGUCUUAAAUCUUGUCCUCAAGCUAUCUGCACUCAUUAGUGUUGUAAUCAAGAUUUUGAUAGAACCUACAAUACUUGUUAUAGUUCCACUUGCUGGUGCUUGUCAUUAGAUUUUUAGGCCAAUGCACAUACUCUCGAUCUCUAAUCUCCAUAAGUAUCUAGGAUCUUGAGGUAUUGAAAAGAGUAUACUUCUCAAAUCCCUGAGGUAGGAUUCUAACAUAUAUGGAGGUUUGUUAUUUGUGCCUCAGGUUCUCCUACAACCUUCCUUCAUC
Molecule: long non-coding RNA, 408 nt
Filed under: Elaeis guineensis (African oil palm)
Lineage: Eukaryota; Viridiplantae; Streptophyta; Magnoliopsida; Arecales; Arecaceae
Description: long non-coding RNA (EGUI_LNC020169)
Source: RNAcentral